RNAcentral lists this ribosomal RNA (490 nucleotides) under uncultured bacterium. RNAcentral describes it as "partial 16S ribosomal RNA". It matches the Rfam family "Bacterial small subunit ribosomal RNA", at positions 30 to 507 of the family's 1533-position model. The record is from RNAcentral.
AUUGAACGCUGGCGGCAGGCCUAACACAUGCAAGUCGAACGGUAACAGGAAGCAGCUUGCUGCUUUGCUGACGAGUGGCGGACGGGUGAGUAAUGUCUGGGAAACUGCCUGAUGGAGGGGGAUAACUACUGGAAACGGUAGCUAAUACCGCAUAACGUCGCAAGACCAAAGAGGGGGACCUUCGGGCCUCUUGCCAUCGGAUGUGCCCAGAUGGGAUUAGCUAGUAGGUGGGGUAACGGCUCACCUAGGCGACGAUCCCUAGCUGGCCUGAGAGGAUGACCAGCCACACUGGAACUGAGACACGGUCCAGACUCCUACGGGAGGCAGCAGUGGGGAAUAUUGCACAAUGGGCGCAAGCCUGAUGCAGCCAUGCCGCGUGUAUGAAGAAGGCCUUCGGGUUGUAAAGUACUUUCAGCGGGGAGGAAGGGAGUAAAGUUAAUACCUUUGCUCAUUGACGUUACCCGCAGAAGAAGCACCGGCUAACUCCGUG